RNAcentral lists this unclassified non-coding RNA (286 nucleotides) under uncultured fungus. Its description in RNAcentral is "partial contains 5.8S rRNA, ITS2 and 28S rRNA". It matches the Rfam family "Eukaryotic large subunit ribosomal RNA", at positions 668 to 961 of the family's 3401-position model. Lineage: Eukaryota; Fungi. The record is from RNAcentral.
AAGGAGUUUUACGUGUGUGCGUGUGUGUGGGUAGAAAACUCAUGCGCGAAAUGAAAGUGAUCGUAACGACCCGCAAGGGACAGUUAUGACCGACCUUGAUCUUAGGUGAUAGGUUUGAGUAUGAGCACAGCCCUAGAGACCCGAAAGAUGGUGAACUUUGCCUGAGUAGGGUGAAGCCAGGGGAAACUCUGGUGGAGGCUCGUAGCGAUUCUGACGUGCAAAUCGAUCGUCAAAUCUGGGUAAAGGGGCGAAAGACUAAUCGAACCAUUUAGUAGCUGGUUCCUCC